Molecule: long non-coding RNA, 345 nt
Filed under: Pongo abelii (Sumatran orangutan)
Lineage: Eukaryota; Metazoa; Chordata; Mammalia; Primates; Hominidae
Description: lincRNA
Source: RNAcentral
GAAUGGCAGACUCUGGACGUGCUCCUAGAGAUGGGAGGUCAAAAUGAUCAACGUCCAGGGUCCCUUCAUCUCAGAGGGUCUCGAGUCACUUCAUUUAAAGUAUGGCCUGGGAGAUCUCCCAUCCAGCCAUACGCUGCCCAGGACUGGCUCAACACCUCCCACCCACCACCGCUGGUUCACCCAUGACACGUCACCUCCCACCCGCCACUACUGGCUCACCUGUAACACCCCAGGCAGCUCAGAUGCCCAGCAGGUCCUGCUGGUGUGUAUUAGCUGGGGUUCUCCAAAGAACCAGAGCCACCAGGAGACACACCCAUCUCUGUAUCUGGAGAAAGAGAUCGAUGA